Molecule: ribosomal RNA, 878 nt
Filed under: uncultured bacterium
Lineage: Bacteria
Description: bacterial SSU rRNA
Rfam family: Bacterial small subunit ribosomal RNA
Source: RNAcentral
AGAGUUUGAUCCUGGCUCAGAAUCAACGCUGGCGGCGUGCCUAACACAUGCAAGUCGAACGAGAAAGCGGGGGCAACUCCGUGAGUAAAGUGGCGUACGGGUGAGUAACACGUAGCUAACCUACCCUCGAGUGAGGAAUAACCUGAGGAAACUCGGGCUAAUACCCCAUAACAUCCCGAGCAAUCGGGAGCAAAGGCUCGCAAGGGCCGCUUGAGGAGGGGGCUGCGGCCGAUUAGCUAGUUGGUGAGGUAACGGCCCACCAAGGCGAUGAUCGGUAGCCGGCCUGAGAGGGCGCACGGCCACACUGGCACUGAAACACGGGCCAGACUCCUACGGGAGGCAGCAGUGGGGAAUUUUGCACAAUGUCCGAAAGGGUGAUGCAGCAACGCCGCGUGAGGGAUGAAGGUCUUCGGAUCGUAAACCUCUUUCGACCGGGAAAAAUGGGCGGGUGUAGAGCCCGUUCUGAUGGUACCGGUGGAAGAAGCCCCGGCUAACUACGUGCCAGCAGCCGCGGUAAUACGUAGGGGGCGAGCGUUGUUCGGAAUUACUGGGCGUAAAGGGCGUGUAGGCGGUGCGGUAAGUCAGGCGUGAAAUCCCCGGGCUCAACCCGGGUAGGUCGUUUGAGACUGCCGUGCUAGAGUGUGGGAGAGGGAAGUGGAAUUCCCGGUGUAGCGGUGAAAUGCGUAGAUAUCGGGAGGAACACCUGCGGCGAACGCGGCUUCCUGGACCAUAACUGACGCUGAGGCGCGAAAGCUAGGGAGCAAACAGGAUUAGAUACCCUGGUAGUCCUAGCCCUAAACGAUGAGCACUGGGUGUUGCCCUUCACCGGGCAGUGCCGAAGCUACGCAUUAAGUGCUCCGCCUGGGGAGUACGUCGCA